UGGGGAAUCUUGCACAAUGGGGGCAACCCUGAUGCAGCGACGCCGCGUGAGCGAUGAAGCCCUUCGGGGUGUAAAGUUCUUUCGACAGGAACGAUAAUGACGGUACCUGGAGAAGAAGCUGCGGCUAACUACGUGCCAGCAGCCGCGGUAAUACGUAGGCAGCGAGCGUUGUUCGGAGUUACUGGGCGUAAAGAGUGCGUAGGCGGCGAGCCAAGUUUGGUGUGAAAUCUCCCGGCUUAACCGGGAGGGUGCGCCGAAAACUGGUUGGCUGGAGUAUGGGAGAGNAAAGCGGAAUUCCUGGUGUAGCGGUGAAAUGCGUAGAUAUCAGGAGGAACACCUGCGGUGUAGACAGCUUUCUGGACCAAAACUGACGCUGAGGCACGAAAGCGUGGGUAGCAAACA
RNAcentral lists this ribosomal RNA (402 nucleotides) under uncultured bacterium. RNAcentral describes it as "bacterial SSU rRNA". It matches the Rfam family "Bacterial small subunit ribosomal RNA", at positions 355 to 774 of the family's 1533-position model. The record is from RNAcentral.